This 843-nucleotide ribosomal RNA is filed under the name uncultured Bacteroidota bacterium. Its description in RNAcentral is "bacterial SSU rRNA". It matches the Rfam family "Bacterial small subunit ribosomal RNA", at positions 31 to 864 of the family's 1533-position model. Lineage: Bacteria; Pseudomonadati; Bacteroidota. The record is from RNAcentral.
GAACGCUAGCUACAGGCUUAACACAUGCAAGUCGAGGGGAAACGACAUCGAAAGCUUGCUUUUGAUGGGCGUCGACCGGCGCACGGGUGAGUAACGCGUAUCCAACCUGCCCAUCACUUGGGGAUAACCUUGCGAAAGUAAGACUAAUACCCAAUGACGUCCAUAGAAGACAUCUGAAAUGGAUUAAAGAUUUAUCGGUGAUGGAUGGGGAUGCGUCUGAUUAGCUUGUUGGCGGGGUAACGGCCCACCAAGGCGACGAUCAGUAGGGGUUCUGAGAGGAAGGUCCCCCACAUUGGAACUGAGACACGGUCCAAACUCCUACGGGAGGCAGCAGUGAGGAAUAUUGGUCAAUGGACGAGAGUCUGAACCAGCCAAGUAGCGUGCAGGAAGACGGCCCUAUGGGUUGUAAACUGCUUUUAUAAGGGAAUAAAGUGAGUCUCGUGAGACUUUUUGCAUGUACCUUAUGAAUAAGGACCGGCUAAUUCCGUGCCAGCAGCCGCGGUAAUACGGAAGGUCCGGGCGUUAUCCGGAUUUAUUGGGUUUAAAGGGAGCGUAGGCCGGAGAUUAAGCGUGUUGUGAAAUGUAGACGCUCAACGUCUGCACUGCAGCGCGAACUGGUUUCCUUGAGUACGCACAAAGUGGGCGGAAUUCGUGGUGUAGCGGUGAAAUGCUUAGAUAUCACGAAGAACUCCGAUUGCGAAGGCAGCUCACUGGAGCGCAACUGACGCUGAAGCUCGAAAGUGCGGGUAUCGAACAGGAUUAGAUACCCUGGUAGUCCGCACGGUAAACGAUGGAUGCCCGCUGUUGGUCUGAAUAGGUCAGCGGCCAAGCGAAAGCAUUAAG